RNAcentral lists this ribosomal RNA (576 nucleotides) under uncultured bacterium. Its description in RNAcentral is "bacterial SSU rRNA". It matches the Rfam family "Bacterial small subunit ribosomal RNA", at positions 8 to 573 of the family's 1533-position model. The record is from RNAcentral.
AGAGUUUGAUCCUGGCUCAGAGUGAACGCUGGCGGUAGGCCUAACACAUGCAAGUCGAACGGCAGCACAGGAGAGCUUGCUCUCUGGGUGGCGAGUGGCGGACGGGUGAGGAAUACAUCGGAAUCUACUCUGUCGUGGGGGAUAACGUAGGGAAACUUACGCUAAUACCGCAUACGACCUACGGGUGAAAGCAGGGGACCUUCGGGCCUUGCGCGAUUGAAUGAGCCGGUGUCGGAUUAGCUAGUUGGCGGGGUAAAGGCCCACCAAGGCGACGAUCCGUAGCUGGUCUGAGAGGAUGAUCAGCCACACUGGAACUGAGACACGGUCCAGACUCCUACGGGAGGCAGCAGUGGGGAAUAUUGGACAAUGGGCGCAAGCCUGAUCCAGCCAUACCGCGUGGGUGAAGAAGGCCUUCGGGUUGUAAAGCCCUUUUGUUGGGAAAGAAAUCCAGCUGGCUAAUACCCGGUUGGGAUGACGGUACCCAAAGAAUAAGCACCGGCUAACUUCGUGCCAGCAGCCGCGGUAAUACGAAGGGUGCAAGCGUUACUCGGAAUUACUGGGCGUAAAGCGUGCGUA